Molecule: long non-coding RNA, 364 nt
Filed under: Homo sapiens (human)
Lineage: Eukaryota; Metazoa; Chordata; Mammalia; Primates; Hominidae
Description: HSALNT0304059
Source: RNAcentral
CAUUUCAUCUCAUCUCAUAUCAUCAUUUCAUCUCAUCCUUUCAUUUCAUCUCAUCGUUUCAUCUCCUCAUUUCAUCUCAUCUCACCUCAGCAUUUCAUUUCACCUCAUCAUUUCUUAUUUCAUCUCAUUUUAUCUCAUUUCAUCUCAUAUCUCAAUUCAAUUUCCUUUCAUUAUUUCAUCUCAUUUUAUCUCAUUUCAUCUCAUAUCUCAAUUCAAUUUCCUUUCAUUAUUUCAUCUCAUUCAUUUCAUCUCAUUUCAUUACAUCUCAUCAUUUCCUCUCAUCAUUACAUCUCAUCUCAUCUCAUCAUUUCAUCAUUUCAUCUCAUCAUUGCAUCUCAUCAUUUCAUCUCAUUUCAUCUCAUCA